UCGUCCGAGUUGUAACCUGGAGAGGCAUUUUUCCGCGUUGGACCGUGUACAAGUCUCCUGGAACGGAGCGUCAUAGAGGGUGAGAAUCCCGUCCAUGACACGGACCGCCAAUGCCUCUGUGAUAUGCCUUCGAAGAGUCGCGUUGUUUGGGAAUGCAGCGCAAAAUGGGUGGUAAAUUCCAUCUAAAGCUAAAUAUUGGCGAGAGACCGAUAGCGAACAAGUACCGUGAGGGAAAGAUGAAAAGCACUUUGAAAAGAGAGUUAAACAGUACGUGAAAUUGUUGAAAGGGAAGCGCUUGAAGUCAGUCGCGUUCCGUGGAACUCAGCCUUACUUCGGUUUGGUGUACUUUCCAUGUGAACGGGUCAAUGUCAAUUUUGGCCGGUGGACAAAGGCAAAGGGAAUGUAGCGUCGCUUCGGUGACGUGUUAUAGCCCCUUGUUGUAUACACCGGCUGGGAUUGAGGACCGCAGCACGCCCUUUGUGGCCGGGGGGUUCUCGCCCCUACGUUACCGUGCUUAGGAUGUUGGCAUAAUGGCUUUAAGCGACCCGUCUUGAAACACGGACCAAGGAGUCUAACAUGCUUGCGAGUGUUCGGGUGGAAAACCCUUGCGCGUAAUGAAAGUGAAAAGUUAGGAGCCCUUAGGGGUGCACUGACGCCCGGCCCUGAAGUCCUCUGACGGUGCUGCGGUAGAGCAAGUAUGUUGGGACCCGAAAGAUGGUGAACUAUGCCUGAAUAGGGCGAAGCCAGAGGAAACUCUG
This 758-nucleotide ribosomal RNA is filed under the name Fulvifomes boninensis. RNAcentral describes it as "partial 28S ribosomal RNA". It matches the Rfam family "Eukaryotic large subunit ribosomal RNA", at positions 134 to 866 of the family's 3401-position model. Lineage: Eukaryota; Fungi; Basidiomycota; Agaricomycetes; Hymenochaetales; Hymenochaetaceae. The record is from RNAcentral.